CACAGUUACAACUCCUCCCCCAGCCCGUCCUCCCCCAGCUCGUCGGAACAUGGCAGGACAUGCACACUAAAGCCAAACGCAAACAGGCAGAGAUUGCUCAACACAAGAAAUCCCUGUCUGACAGUCGCAUCACCUUCAAAAUGAAGAACACAGUCCAGACAUCUGCCAGAUGGACGCCGUACAAUAAAGGUCUAUAGCACAUUCACUGACUACUGAACAGUGGAAUGAAGAGCAGAACGGUCAAUAGAGAGUCACCAUCUGUCCAGCCGGCUUAAAGACACUCAGAUGAAACAGGCGCCUCCCUGGAUCAAAGUCAUGGGGCCAGUGGGGGCCAGUGGGGGCCAGUGGGGGCCAGUGGGGGCUGUGUCCAGUGGGAAACCCCUGGGUGUUUCCUCGGACAACGCCCCCAGAUUGGCCCCGAGGACAGAGGAGGGUGAUGUUGUUGAGGGAAUAAUCCCUUCAUCAAAGCCAGCUGUGAGCCAGUCAGACAUGCAGACAGAGAAAGCAGGCUCCAUCACCUGUCAGCCUGGACUGCCCAGGAAACAGCUCCAGUGUCCACUGCCUGCAUGACCAACAUAACUCACAUGCCUGAGAUGUUCACCAUACGGUGGCACUGGCUAGAUGAAGCCAUGUGGACACUGGCAUACAGGGUGUCGGUAGCAGAGUGUGAGUCGUAGAGAUGCUGUAUUCCCACUCACAUUCUUGUCAUGUGUGAAUUUCUGAAACCCAAAAAUGUCCUCCUUAUCAAUCUUAAUGUCAAAGUGCAAUAUGUACUGAAGCUGAAUGUGAAACAGUGCAGGGAGAGGGCCAAGGUGUCAACUGAGUUCAGUUGAAUUACUGCAAUUAUAUAUCUUGCCUCUGGGGGGAAAAAAUCAUUUGAAACAGGUCCAGGAUAUCAAAGGGUGAUUCCAAUAUUCUCAAAAGGUACUUUGUUACGGGCACAAUCAGUUGUACCGCCCUCAUCUUUCACACGUUGAUAGGGUUUCACUAGCAGUAAGAAUUGUGUUCUCUAACUUCACUUAUACAAGCUGAACAAAGGGAUUUAGUAAUGUGGGGUCGUCUCCUUCAAGUAUCCAGACUUUAUCCAUCCCGUGCAUUAUUAUUAUUUC
Long non-coding RNA from Oncorhynchus tshawytscha (Chinook salmon), 1109 nucleotides. The record is from Ensembl. NCBI's taxonomy places the organism in Eukaryota, Metazoa, Chordata, Actinopteri, Salmoniformes, Salmonidae.